UGAGACCCUCCCUCUGCCCUCCCUCUGGGGCCUCACCUCUGGGGUCCCUCACUGGCCUGUGCCUCUUGAUAGCGCUGCUCCCGGAGGGCUGCCUCCCGCAGCUCCCGUUCCCGGCGCUCCUGCUCCAGUCGCUGCCGCUCCUCCUCUGCCCGCCGCUUCUCUUCCAGCCUGCGAUUCUCCUCCUCCUUCUGCAGGGAGAGCCGACCCCGCCUGCCCCACUCAGCAGUUGCACAGCAAGCAGGCGAGCCUCCCUUCCUGCCCCCCCACCCCAUGCAAGUGUGGCCUGUGCAGAAGCGUGCUCAAGCGCAGCCACUAAUGAGGACACGUGUUCUUUAUCAUGAGAAACACAGGGACGGCAAGGAAGACACCCUGACACCUGGCACGCAUGAUCUCCUUGAGGGCUGGCUGUGCUCGACGCACCCGCACAGCACUCACCUCUGCUUUGGCCCAGAAGCUGUCUUUGCCGACCCUUUUGAUCUCAGAGAUGGCGUUGGUCUUCUGGUACACAGAGCCCUGUGGACGACAGAGGAUCCGCUACAGGACCGUCUGCGGGAGCACAGAACGUGAACAAUAGUUGUGGGGACCGUGCCUAGCAGUGGCAGUGACACCUGGCCCGGGGCCUCUUCACCAAGAUGGCCUGAAGGCCCCAGGAACCACUGGGCAAUGCCAAGGGGGUUUUUGGCUGCACUAGGCCCCAAUGGAUAGAAGCCAAGGAGGUUCUGAGGCUGGCUGCUUCUAGGAGCUGGUCCACUAGCCUCAGACAGCUGGUCACCGUGCCAGUGUCCAGGGAGACUCCACAGACUGCAGCGCUGCUUCGGGGAACUGGGCUCCCCAUAACCAGGAUGUCUGGUGUCUACCCACAGCUGGAAGGGGCCUGACCAUCCAGCACUUAAAGCUCCCCCAUGGUGCCCACCAUCCAGGGCCGUUCAGGACAGGCUGGACUGUCCUGCAGAGCCUCUGACCACACAAAACAGGUGUAAGAGGCUCCAGAAUAGCCAGUGGAACCAGCAGGCAGGGUAGAGGGCUGCUCCUCACGCCCACUAGCACCUGCCUACUAGGAGGCAGCUCCGGCUUCUCUCUGGCCUAGGCUCACCAUCUGCACCUAGAUCUGCCUCCAGGACCGGAAGCCCUUGAGGGAUAAGACACGCUUGGCCCUGGGCAGCACUCACCACUGGGGCCUGAGGGCCUAUGUCCUGGAAACGACCACUCUCCUUGUGGAAGGCAUAGUUGGCUCCUGAGGCCCUGGCCACUUUCUGCAUGAUGCACUCAGGCUCCACGUCCUCCUCAGCCCUCGCGUUGAUGGUUACAUGCGCCCCCUGCAGCAGGACAGCACCUAGGUGUUGCAGCUCCAGGAGAGGACAGGACGCAGCCCCAAGUCUGCAGAGCGCAGACAACUGCUGCCUGGGGUUCGAGGUCAGGAGACCCUGCUGGGGCCCUAGGCACGCUCUCCACAAGACCGACAAACUACCUUGAGGCAGAGAGCCUGUUCUCACCCCAGCACCUUGCCCCUUCCCAAGCUGAUUCCCCAGGGCUGUGUGUUCGCUGCUGGAGGCCCAGGCAGGAAAUAGUCCUGAUUAACGAAAUCAACAAAUUAACGAAAAGCCAACUUAAAAAAGGAUCUGGAAAUGCAAUUUCUGCAAAGAGCAAACCACUUAUUUCUUCUUCCUUUUUUUUUUUUUUUGUCUUAUUUAUUCAAGUAAUCUCUACACUCAACCUGGGACUUGAACUCAGGACCCUGAGAUCGAGAGUCGCUCACUCCUCACACGGAGCCAGCUGGGCGCCCCAGGCACCAAUUUCUUUUCUUUUCUUUUUUUUUUUUUCAGGCACCAAUUUCUUAUUGAGAAGUCAGACCCAUGACCUCACUCCCUGCUGGUAAACAUCCAACAGCUUGGGAUCCUCUUUCAGCUCCCAGAUGGAGAAACUGAGGCAUGUCUGAAAAAGCGUCAGCAGACUAGAAAUCAAAGUCCUAGAUCUUUCUGCCAGUAACCAAAGAAAUGCAGGUUAUCUGACAAGCAAACAACAAAGGCUUCUGGAACUAAACGAGGUUCCGCUGCGAGGACUGAUGUAAAUACACACGUAGGUUGGCUACAAACAGGGUACAGGGAAAUGUGCCCGCUGAGGGGGCUGGGCACCUGCACCCUUCCUGCUCCUCCAAAUCCUGACAACACGGCUGAAUAAACCCUCACAAAACCAACGGAACCCAAGACCUCGCUCCAGAUUGGCCUUCCCUGUGCUUGAAAAGGACAAUCGCCUGUUCCUCCCCGCUGCUAACACCAGCUUGCUGGUCGCUCUGGCCACAGCAUGGCCCUCUGGGUGCUGGCCAAGCAGGAGCGCAGCAGCCUCUGCUCAUGUCCUCAAGUCCAAAGAGAGCAUCGGGGAGUGGGACCCACUUCCGGUUCUGGCUGUGAUUCGCGCUCACGCCCGCCCAAGAUCGCAGGAGCCUGGAGACCUGUGUGAGGCCUUCAGGGUGCAGCCCUCACCUUCAGAAAGCUGGCCAUGGUGCUGACGUGGUUGGCGCACGCUCCCUUCCGCACAUCGUUCACACCUUCGCCUGUCUGCAACAUGACACACCCGGCGUGACCUGCCAACUUCCCACCGCCCUGCCUCCCUAGGGACCCAGCAGAGGGACAACUGUGACCCUACAGCAGACCAUACGGGAACCUGAUCUCAAACCUCAGAGCUCGAAGGGCAACCCUGAGAACCUGUUGCAUCAGAAACGGAAGAGUGAAGGCCAGUCACUCAGCAGGGAUCAUGUCACUCAUGAAGAACAUGUUGAAAGUUUGCUGUUCUGAAAGCUUCCUGGAAGAAAAAAAAGUAGACAUAAAUGUCAGCUAUCGCUUAGGGUGAUGAGUGAAUUAUGUUUUAAUUUAUCCUUAAUAAAAGUCUGCUCUGCUCCGC
This is a long non-coding RNA of Canis lupus familiaris (dog), 2898 nucleotides long. RefSeq lists it as uncharacterized. Lineage: Eukaryota; Metazoa; Chordata; Mammalia; Carnivora; Canidae. The transcript has 2 exons. The record is from RefSeq and is a predicted model, not a curated record.